This 1777-nucleotide long non-coding RNA is filed under the name Marmota monax (woodchuck). The record is from RNAcentral. Lineage: Eukaryota; Metazoa; Chordata; Mammalia; Rodentia; Sciuridae.
CUCGGCUGCUCUCUGGAUUGGUAUCGUCCCACGGGAGGCCACGGGAGGCCUCAUAAGUGCUGGCCGUGCGCCCGAGGUGACAGGAUGGUGGGCAAGAGGCGCCACAUGAAGGUUUUAUUCUAAGGGGACCAACACCCAGAACCAUCAAACCGCCCUCGUGCGUGACGAUUGCUCCUGGGACUGAGCGGGCGGGGACCUCGUGCCCCCUCCCGAGCGGCCAGCCGGGAGGUCCACAGCCAGGACAGGUCCCAGAAGGAAUGAAGGACGUUCCUGCGCCGGAGGUCACUGGACACUGCGAGGCCGACUGGAGGAGGCACCACGCACGCGCUCAGCGCCGCUCCUGCCCUGCGCCUGGGGCCGAGGUGCGCCCUGUGCGGGGACCUGCGCGUCCCUGUCCUCAAGGGGUCACAGCCCGUGGGGAGGAGGGACAGGUGAGCGAUUGGAACUGCAGCCGCGAGGAGGGGAGGGUGGAGGAGCCCUUCCAAGGGACAGAACCAGGGCUCCUAAUGGUGACCAUAAAGCGCCUACUCGGUGCCCGCGGCUUAUCCGAUAUUUGGAGCCGUAUUUUGGACACAGACCGACCCGGUUGGUUUUUCCUUAUUUGCGGUUUGAUGGAGAGGGGCACAUGUACACCAGCCCCCUCGAGUGGUCAGCUUUAGUGAGCCUCGUUCUCCGCAGUUUCAGUGAAGGGACGUGGCGGAAGGUGGGGAGGGAACGUGGCGCCUCGAGGGCACCCAGCUGGCCCUGGAGGCUGCCUGCCCGCUCCCGCCUGGUUAACGCAGACCCGUCCAUCGCUGCCCCCUCCCAGGCCCAGUUCCUACUGGGAGCCCCGGGGUGGGGCUGAGAACGUGGAGUCCAGUUCCCAGGUGCUGCUGGUCGCCGACCGCACACUGGGAACCUGGUCAGUUCCAAGGGGCGAGUGUGGUGGCCAGCCUGAAGUCCCCCUCUGUCCCUGCAGGAUCAGAGCCCAUCUGAAAGACAAAUUGCUCCCCCAACACCUUUUGGUUUUCACUCACAUUUUUCUUUGCCUUUUGAUUGACACAUGAUCACUGUACAUAUUCAUGAGGUGCCAGGUGACGCUUUGAUUCGUGUAUGCAGUUGGUCAUGACCCAUCCAGGGUCAUUAGCAUAUCUGCCACCUUGACCGCUUAGCCUUUCUCUAGGAUUCCAUUCAGAACCAUCUCUACCAGCUAUUUAGAGAUGCAUAAGGUGUCACUGUUAGGUACACUCACCCCACUGAGCCACAAAACACCAGAGCUUCCUCCUGUGUGACCAUAUCUUUGUAUUCAAUCUCGGGCCAUCUCCCUCAUCCUACUCUCAACUUCUAUGAGAUCAACCUUUUGCAUUCCACCGAUGAGUGAGAUCAUGUAACAUCUGUCUUUCGGUGCCUGAUUUAUUUCACUUAACAUUCUGUCCAUCCAAGCUGCUGCAAAUGUCAGGAUUCCAUCCUUUGAAUGGCUGCAUAGUAUUCCAUUUGGGUACAUGCAACACAUUUGCUUUGUUCACUGAUGGACAUUUAGGGUGAUUCCAUUUCCUGACUCUUGUGGAUAGUACUGCAAUAAAUACAGGAGUGCUGGUGUCUCUUCAUAUGCCCAUCUCAUUUUCUCUGGGCUGCAUACAGUAGUGCAAUUUCCAGACUGUUCAGUAUUUCUAGUGUAGAUGUUUAAGGAACCUCCACACUAUGCUCCUUAAUCCUCCCACUUUUUUUAAGCCCCUCCUGAGCCCACAGCUCACUGGGCCGCCCCUGCUCUCUUGAUCUGAUGCUUUAUUUUUUUUUU